AUUGAACGCUGGCGGCAGGCUUAACACAUGCAAGUCGAGCGGGGGAAGGUAGCUUGCUACCGGACCUAGCGGCGGACGGGUGAGUAAUGCUUAGGAAUCUGCCUAUUAGUGGGGGACAACAUCUCGAAAGGGAUGCUAAUACCGCAUACGUCCUACGGGAGAAAGCAGGGGAUCUUCGGACCUUGCGCUAAUAGAUGAGCCUAAGUCGGAUUAGCUAGUUGGUGGGGUAAAGGCCUACCAAGGCGACGAUCUGUAGCGGGUCUGAGAGGAUGGACCGCCACACUGGGACUGAGACACGGCCCAGACUCCUACGGGAGGCAGCAGUGGGGAAUAUUGGACAAUGGGGGGAACCCUGAUCCAGCCAUGCCGCGUGUGUGAAGAAGGCCUUAUGGUUGUAAAGCACUUUAAGCGAGGAGGAGGCUACUUUAGUUAAUACCUAGAGAUAGUGGACGUUACUCGCAGAAUAAGCACCGGCUAACUCUGUGCCAGCAGCCGCCGUAA
RNAcentral lists this ribosomal RNA (501 nucleotides) under uncultured bacterium. RNAcentral describes it as "partial 16S ribosomal RNA". It matches the Rfam family "Bacterial small subunit ribosomal RNA", at positions 30 to 523 of the family's 1533-position model. The record is from RNAcentral.